RNAcentral lists this ribosomal RNA (427 nucleotides) under uncultured bacterium. Its description in RNAcentral is "bacterial SSU rRNA". It matches the Rfam family "Bacterial small subunit ribosomal RNA", at positions 917 to 1344 of the family's 1533-position model. The record is from RNAcentral.
GGGCCCGCACAAGCGGUGGAGCAUGUGGUUUAAUUCGAUGCAACGCGAAGAACCUUACCAGGGUUUGACAUCCUGCGAAUCUCUUGGAAACGAGAGAGUGCCUUCGGGAACGCAGUGACAGGUGGUGCAUGGCUGUCGUCAGCUCGUGUCGUGAGAUGUUGGGUUAAGUCCUAUAACGAGCGCAACCCCUAUCGUUAGUUGCCAGCAAGUUAAGUUGGGUACUCUAGUGAGACUGCCGGUGCAAACCGAGAGGAAGGUGGGGAUGACGUCAAAUCAUCACGGCCCUUACGUCCUGGGCUACACACGUGCUACAAUGGCCGGUACAGAGAGCAGCCACCACGCGAGUGGGAGCGAAUCUUUAAAGCCGGUCUCAGUUCGGAUCGCAGUCUGCAACUCGACUGCGUGAAGCUGGAAUCGCUAGUAAUCG